This 359-nucleotide unclassified non-coding RNA is filed under the name fungal sp. RNAcentral's name for it is "partial internal transcribed spacer region". The stretch from base 1 to 46 matches the Rfam family "Eukaryotic small subunit ribosomal RNA", at positions 1786 to 1831 of the family's 1831-position model. The record is from RNAcentral. Lineage: Eukaryota; Fungi.
AAGUCGUAACAAAGUUUCCGUAGGUGAACCUGCGGAAGGAUCAUUAACACGUAUCCAACGUUCUUCAUUAUGCUGCCGAACAGUUUUGAUUCAGGGACCUCUAUUAUAAGAACGAGUCUAACCAUAUAGCAUAUAGCAAUGGACCUGGCAUUCCUCUGCUUGUUAGUGUCUGAAAGUGUCACUAGCUCUGUACGGAUGGCGCAGUAACGAUCGCUAGAGGCCGACACGGCCGGCGACCAGGUCCCUGGGUGAAAGCCCCCUAUAGUCACCUCCAUUGCACGAUUAACGCGGUGUGCGAUUCGUACGCACCCUCCAUAAAAUGCUUAGAACAACUGUUAACAAUGGAUAUCUUGGUUCUC